This 344-nucleotide unclassified non-coding RNA is filed under the name air metagenome. RNAcentral describes it as "partial contains small subunit ribosomal RNA, internal transcribed spacer 1, and 5.8S ribosomal RNA". The stretch from base 1 to 46 matches the Rfam family "Eukaryotic small subunit ribosomal RNA", at positions 1786 to 1831 of the family's 1831-position model. The record is from RNAcentral.
AAGUCGUAACAAGGUUUCCGUAGGUGAACCUGCGGAAGGAUCAUUAAUGAAUUUAAAUAAAAGAAAGAGUGUUGGAACUUGAAGUCGAUUUGUAGCUGGCUCUUGCAAGUGCUCAUUCGAUUAAAGGAAAGGCAUUCUUUUUUUAAUUCUAUUACCAACCCCCUUUGUGCACCUUUUGUUAGCCAUCCCGUGUUCAAGUCUCUUGAGAUUUGAAUGUGUGUGUUGUGUUAAUGUAUUUAUACACCCUUUUAAAACAGUUAUAGAAUGUCUAAUCGCAAGUAAACUUAAUCGUUGAAAGUGAAUAAAAAAUUAUACAACUUUAAGCAACGGAUCUCUUGGCUCUC